UACGGAGGGUGCGAGCGUUACCCGGAUUUACUGGGUGUAAAGGGCGUGUAGGCGGUCUCUCAAGUCCGAUGCUAAAGACCGAAGCUCAACUUCGGGGGUGCGUUGGAUACUGUGAGGCUAGACGGUCGGAGAGGGUAGCUGAAUUUCCGGAGUAGCGGUGAAAUGCGCAGAUACCGGAAGGAACGCCAAUAGCGAAAGCAGCUACCUGGACGAUUUGUGACGCUGAGGCGCGGAAGCGUGGGGAGCAAACCGG
RNAcentral lists this ribosomal RNA (253 nucleotides) under uncultured bacterium. RNAcentral describes it as "partial 16S ribosomal RNA". It matches the Rfam family "Bacterial small subunit ribosomal RNA", at positions 524 to 776 of the family's 1533-position model. The record is from RNAcentral.